CUUAAUAGUAAAGAACUGAAGCACACCAGAUCCCAUCUGAUCUUGGAAGCUAAGCUGGGUCAGUCUGGUUAGUACUUGGAUGGGAGACACCAAUGAGUGUCAGGUACUGUGAGCU
Molecule: ribosomal RNA, 115 nt
Filed under: Anolis carolinensis (green anole)
Lineage: Eukaryota; Metazoa; Chordata; Lepidosauria; Squamata; Anolidae
Source: RNAcentral